This 107-nucleotide small nuclear RNA is filed under the name Dipodomys ordii (Ord's kangaroo rat). Its description in RNAcentral is "U2 spliceosomal RNA". It matches the Rfam family "U2 spliceosomal RNA". From Rfam's summary of the family: U2 is a small nuclear RNA (snRNA) component of the spliceosome (involved in pre-mRNA splicing). Complementary binding between U2 snRNA (in an area lying towards the 5' end but 3' to hairpin I) and the branchpoint sequence (BPS) of the intron results the bulging out of an unpaired adenosine, on the BPS, which initiates a nucleophilic attack at the intronic 5' splice site, thus starting the first of two transesterification reactions that mediate splicing. Lineage: Eukaryota; Metazoa; Chordata; Mammalia; Rodentia; Heteromyidae. The record is from Rfam by way of RNAcentral.
AUAGCUUUUUAGCCUUUGGCUAAGAUCAAGUAUAGUAUUUGUUUUUGUGGAUUUUAAUAACUGAUGUGUUCUCUAUCCAAGGACAACAUAUUUAGAUUAUACAUGUC